Non-coding RNA from Pelobates cultripes (western spadefoot toad), 319 nucleotides. The record is from the annotation of a GenBank genome assembly. NCBI's taxonomy places the organism in Eukaryota, Metazoa, Chordata, Amphibia, Anura, Pelobatidae.
UAGCACGCUAGUACCUGGUAUAGACGUCCAGUUGUGUAUAAGCAAUCCAAGCAACGUUCUAAGCAAUCUGGGCAAACUUGGCUUAAUAAUAAUCCAGGUGACGUCGACACUCUAGUACAAUGAAUAAAUUCAACACACAAAGGGUUCAUAGUUCAUGGGAUAUAAUAAGUAUAGAUGCUCGAAUCCACAAUGGAAUAGGCAGCCACUGCUCAAUAAGAAAUCUGCUACACACGUGAUUAAAACUGUACCGAUUGCAGCAGCUAAAUCUACAUGUUUCGUUUCACUUGGAAACUUUGUGAAAAUACAAAGUAGAUAUAAG